Molecule: transfer RNA, 76 nt
Filed under: Candidatus Roizmanbacteria bacterium RIFCSPHIGHO2_02_FULL_37_13b
Lineage: Bacteria; Candidatus Roizmaniibacteriota
Also listed under: 1 other name
Description: tRNA-Arg
Rfam family: tRNA
About the family: Transfer RNA (tRNA) molecules are approximately 80 nucleotides in length. Their secondary structure includes four short double-helical elements and three loops (D, anti-codon, and T loops).
Source: RNAcentral
GCCCUUAUAGCUUAAUCGGAUAGAGCAGAGGCUUGCGGAGCCUCAGAUCCCCGUUCGAUUCGGGGUAGGGGCACAA